GCGGAUUUAGCUCAGUUGGGAGAGCGUCAGACUGAAGUCCAAUCUGAAGGUCGUGUGUUCGAUCCACACAAGCCGCA
Molecule: transfer RNA, 77 nt
Filed under: Thermochaetoides thermophila DSM 1495
Lineage: Eukaryota; Fungi; Ascomycota; Sordariomycetes; Sordariales; Chaetomiaceae
Description: Chaetomium thermophilum var. thermophilum DSM 1495 tRNA-Phe
Rfam family: tRNA
About the family: Transfer RNA (tRNA) molecules are approximately 80 nucleotides in length. Their secondary structure includes four short double-helical elements and three loops (D, anti-codon, and T loops).
Source: RNAcentral